RNAcentral lists this ribosomal RNA (411 nucleotides) under Triticum aestivum (bread wheat). Its description in RNAcentral is "partial small subunit ribosomal RNA". Lineage: Eukaryota; Viridiplantae; Streptophyta; Magnoliopsida; Poales; Poaceae. The record is from RNAcentral.
AUGGGGAAAGGAGCCCGCUCGAACGCAGCUAAAAGGACCGCCGUCGCUUGUGCGGGUGACGGAAAAGAGCAGCAGCGCAAGGCGAUGCCGCCGGAGACAAACGCGCAGAAGCUGGCCCGGCUGCGGGCGCUGGUAGCGUUCGGCAAGGCGGCGAACGCGGAAGCCACGCGCUACAUCGACAUGGAGGAGGAGGAGGUGGUGGAGGAGUACCGGCGGGCGGGCAGACUGCACUGCUACGACCCGGACAACGAGUGGAAGAAGCGCUUCGCCAGAGUCUACAAACUCCACCCGUGCCCGUGCAGCAAGCAAAUGGCCGCAGAAAUCGAGGAAUUCACGUUUUACCUCGAGGAAAACGAGGACGACUUCAGGAUGGGGCUUUACUCGUUAAUCGGGCCGGGUGAUCAAUAUUAG